Molecule: transfer RNA, 88 nt
Filed under: Ignavibacteria bacterium
Lineage: Bacteria; Pseudomonadati; Ignavibacteriota; Ignavibacteria
Also listed under: 1 other name
Description: tRNA-Ser
Rfam family: tRNA
About the family: Transfer RNA (tRNA) molecules are approximately 80 nucleotides in length. Their secondary structure includes four short double-helical elements and three loops (D, anti-codon, and T loops).
Source: RNAcentral
GGAGACGUCGCAUAGAGGUCUAGUGCGCUCGCUUGGAAAGCGAGUAGGGGGAAACCCCUCGAGGGUUCGAAUCCCUCCGUCUCCGCCA